RNAcentral lists this ribosomal RNA (866 nucleotides) under Rhodococcus (subgen. Prescottella) equi. RNAcentral describes it as "Prescottella equi bacterial SSU rRNA". It matches the Rfam family "Bacterial small subunit ribosomal RNA", at positions 112 to 992 of the family's 1533-position model. The record is from RNAcentral. Lineage: Bacteria; Bacillati; Actinomycetota; Actinomycetes; Mycobacteriales; Nocardiaceae.
AACACGUGGGUGAUCUGCCCUGCACUCUGGGAUAAGCCUGGGAAACUGGGUCUAAUACCGGAUAUGAGCUCCUGUCGCAUGGCGGGGGUUGGAAAGGUUUACUGGUGCAGGAUGGGCCCGCGGCCUAUCAGCUUGUUGGUGGGGUAAUGGCCUACCAAGGCGACGACGGGUAGCCGGCCUGAGAGGGCGACCGGCCACACUGGGACUGAGACACGGCCCAGACUCCUACGGGAGGCAGCAGUGGGGAAUAUUGCACAAUGGGCGAAAGCCUGAUGCAGCGACGCCGCGUGAGGGAUGACGGCCUUCGGGUUGUAAACCUCUUUCAGCAGGGACGAAGCGAGAGUGACGGUACCUGCAGAAGAAGCACCGGCCAACUACGUGCCAGCAGCCGCGGUAAUACGUAGGGUGCGAGCGUUGUCCGGAAUUACUGGGCGUAAAGAGCUCGUAGGCGGUUUGUCGCGUCGUCCGUGAAAACUUGGGGCUCAACCCCAAGCUUGCGGGCGAUACGGGCAGACUUGAGUACUGCAGGGGAGACUGGAAUUCCUGGUGUAGCGGUGAAAUGCGCAGAUAUCAGGAGGAACACCGGUGGCGAAGGCGGGUCUCUGGGCAGUAACUGACGCUGAGGAGCGAAAGCGUGGGUAGCGAACAGGAUUAGAUACCCUGGUAGUCCACGCCGUAAACGGUGGGCGCUAGGUGUGGGUUUCCUUCCACGGGAUCCGUGCCGUAGCUAACGCAUUAAGCGCCCCGCCUGGGGAGUACGGCCGCAAGGCUAAAACUCAAGGAAUUGACGGGGGCCCGCACAGCGGCGGAGCAUGUGGAUUAAUUCGAUGCAACGCGAAGAACCUUACCUGGGUUUGACAUAUACC